GGUUAAGCGACUAAGCGUACACGGUGGAUGCCUAGGCAGUCAGAGGCGAUGAAGGGCGUGCUAAUCUGCGAAAAGCGUCGGUAAGCUGAUAUGAAGCGUUAUAACCGACGAUACCCGAAUGGGGAAACCCAGUGCAAUACGUUGCACUAUCGUUAGAUGAAUACAUAGUCUAACGAGGCGAACCGGGGGAACUGAAACAUCUAAGUACCCCGAGGAAAAGAAAUCAACCGAGAUUCCCCCAGUAGCGGCGAGCGAACGGGGAGGAGCCCAGAGUCUGAAUCAGUUUGUGUGUUAGUGGAAGCGUCUGGAAAGUCGCACGGUACAGGGUGAUAGUCCCGUACACCAAAAUGCACAGGCUGUGAACUCGAUGAGUAGGGCGGGACACGUGACAUCCUGUCUGAAUAUGGGGGGACCAUCCUCCAAGGCUAAAUACUCCUGACUGACCGAUAGUGAACCAGUACCGUGAGGGAAAGGCGAAAAGAACCCCGGCGAGGGGAGUGAAAUAGAACCUGAAACCGUGUACGUACAAGCAGUGGGAGCACCUUCGUGGUGUGACUGCGUACCUUUUGUAUAAUGGGUCAGCGACUUAUAUUUUGUAGCAAGGUUAACCGAAUAGGGGAGCCGUAGGGAAACCGAGUCUUAACUGGGCGUCUAGUUGCAAGGUAUAGACCCGAAACCCGGUGAUCUAGCCAUGGGCAGGUUGAAGGUUGGGUAACACUAACUGGAGGACCGAACCGACUAAUGUUGAAAAAUUAGCGGAUGACUUGUGGCUGGGGGUGAAAGGCCAAUCAAACCGGGAGAUAGCUGGUUCUCCCCGAAAGCUAUUUAGGUAGCGCCUCGUGAACUCAUCUUCGGGGGUAGAGCACUGUUUCGGCUAGGGGGCCAUCCCGGCUUACCAAACCGAUGCAAACUCCGAAUACCGAAGAAUGUUAUCACGGGAGACACACGGCGGGUGCUAACGUCCGUCGUGAAGAGGGAAACAACCCAGACCGCCAGCUAAGGUCCCAAAGUCAUGGUUAAGUGGGAAACGAUGUGGGAAGGCACAGACAGCCAGGAUGUUGGCUUAGAAGCAGCCAUCAUUUAAAGAAAGCGUAAUAGCUCACUGGUCGAGUCGGCCUGCGCGGAAGAUGUAACGGGGCUAAACCAUGCACCGAAGCUGCGGCAGCGACACUUAGGUGUUGUUGGGUAGGGGAGCGUUCUGUAAGCCGUUGAAGGUGACCUGUGAGGGUUGCUGGAGGUAUCAGAAGUGCGAAUGCUGACAUAAGUAACGAUAAUGCGGGUGAAAAACCCGCACGCCGGAAGACCAAGGGUUCCUGUCCAACGUUAAUCGGGGCAGGGUGAGUCGACCCCUAAGGCGAGGCUGAAAAGCGUAGUCGAUGGGAAACAGGUUAAUAUUCCUGUACUUGGUGUUACUGCGAAGGGGGGACGGAGAAGGCUAGGCUGGCCGGGCGACGGUUGUCCCGGUUUAAGCGUGUAGGGGGAGUGACCAGGUAAAUCCGGUUGCUUAUCAACCCUGAGGCGUGAUGACGAUGCACUACGGUGCAGAAGCAGUUGAUGCCAUGCUUCCAGGAAAAGCCUCUAAGCAUCAGGUAACAUUAAAUCGUACCCCAAACCGACACAGGUGGUCAGGUAGAGAAUACUCAGGCGCUUGAGAGAACUCGGGUGAAGGAACUAGGCAAAAUGGUGCCGUAACUUCGGGAGAAGGCACGCUGGCGUUAGGUGAAAGGACUAGCUCCUGGAGCUGAAGCCAGUCGCAGAUACCAGCUGGCUGCAACUGUUUAAUAAAAACACAGCACUGUGCAAACACGAAAGUGGACGUAUACGGUGUGACGCCUGCCCGGUGCUGGAAGGUUAAUUGAUGGGGUCAGCCGCAAGGCGAAGCUCUUGAUCGAAGCCCCAGUAAACGGCGGCCGUAACUAUAACGGUCCUAAGGUAGCGAAAUUCCUUGUCGGGUAAGUUCCGACCUGCACGAAUGGCGUAAUGAUGGCCAGGCUGUCUCCACCCGAGACUCAGUGAAAUUGAACUCGCUGUGAAGAUGCAGUGUACCCGCGGCAAGACGGAAAGACCCCGUGAACCUUUACUAUAGCUUGACACUGAACAUUGAGCCUUGAUGUGUAGGAUAGGUGGGAGGCCUUGAAGUGUGGACGCCAGUCUGCAUGGAGCCAACCUUGAAAUACCACCCUUUAAUGUUUGAUGUUCUAACUCGGCCCCAUAAUCUGGGGUGAGGACAGUGUCUGGUGGGUAGUUUGACUGGGGCGGUCUCCUCCCAAAGAGUAACGGAGGAGCACGAAGGUUAGCUAAUCACGGUCGGACAUCGUGAGGUUAGUGCAAAGGCAUAAGCUAGCUUGACUGCGAGAGUGACGGCUCGAGCAGGUACGAAAGUAGGUCUUAGUGAUCCGGUGGUUCUGAAUGGAAGGGCCAUCGCUCAACGGAUAAAAGGUACUCCGGGGAUAACAGGCUGAUACCGCCCAAGAGUUCAUAUCGACGGCGGUGUUUGGCACCUCGAUGUCGGCUCAUCACAUCCUGGGGCUGAAGUAGGUCCCAAGGGUAUGGCUGUUCGCCAUUUAAAGUGGUACGCGAGCUGGGUUUAGAACGUCGUGAGACAGUUCGGUCCCUAUCUGCCGUGGGCGUUGGAAGAUUGAGAGGGGCUGCUCCUAGUACGAGAGGACCGGAGUGGACGAAUCACUGGUGUUCGGGUUGUCAUGCCAAUGGCAUUGCCCGGUAGCUAAAUUCGGAAGAGAUAACCGCUGAAAGCAUCUAAGCGGGAAACUUGCCUCGAGAUGAGUCUUCCCUGGGGCUUAAAGCCCCCUGAAGGAACGUUAAAGACUAUGACGUUGAUAGGCUGGGUGUGUAAGUGCAGCGAUGUAUUGAGCUAACCAGUACUAAUGAUCCGUGAGGCUUAACCUU
Molecule: ribosomal RNA, 2907 nt
Filed under: Yersinia pseudotuberculosis
Lineage: Bacteria; Pseudomonadati; Pseudomonadota; Gammaproteobacteria; Enterobacterales; Yersiniaceae
Also listed under: 2 other names
Description: 23S ribosomal RNA
Rfam family: Bacterial large subunit ribosomal RNA
Source: RNAcentral